RNAcentral lists this ribosomal RNA (804 nucleotides) under Mucor hiemalis f. hiemalis. RNAcentral's name for it is "LSU rRNA". It matches the Rfam family "Eukaryotic large subunit ribosomal RNA", at positions 148 to 861 of the family's 3401-position model. The record is from RNAcentral. Lineage: Eukaryota; Fungi; Mucoromycota; Mucoromycetes; Mucorales; Mucoraceae.
AACUGUAGAAGUGUUUUCCAGACACGCCUGGUAAAAAAGUCCUUUGGAACAGGGCAUCAUAGAGGGUGAGAAUCCCGUCAUUGGCCAGAGCUGUUGUCUUUUGUGAUACAUUUUCAAAGAGUCAGGUUGUUUGGGAAUGCAGCCUAAAUUGGGUGGUAAAUCUCACCUAAAGCUAAAUAUUUGCGAGAGACCGAUAGCGAACAAGUACCGUGAGGGAAAGAUGAAAAGAACUUUGAAAAGAGAGUUAAACAGUAUGUGAAAUUGUUAAAAGGGAACCGUUUGGAGCCAGACUGGCUUAAUCGUAAUCACUCUAGGCUUUGGCCUGGAUGCACUUGCGGUUUAUGCCGGCCAACGACAGUUUUGUUUGAGGGAAAAAAUUACAUUGAAUGUGGCCCCUCGGGGUGUUAUAGCUUUGUAAAAAAUACCUUGGACGGGACUGAGGAACGCAGUGAAUGCCUUUAGGCGAAAUUGCUGGGUGCUUGCGCUGAUACAUGCUAGAAUUUCUGCUUCGGGUGGUGCUAGUGUUUAAAGGAGUAACCCGCUUAGUAUAUUUUUUAUUCGCUUAGGUUGUUGGCUUAAUGACUCUAAAUGACCCGUCUUGAAACACGGACCAAGGAGUCCACCAUUAGUGCAAGUAUUUGGGUGACAAACCCAUAUGCGCAAGGAAACUGAUUGAUACGAAGGCGCAAGCUGGCAGUAUCACCCGGGCGUUGACGUUUUAUACUGAACUGACCGAGGUAAAGCACUAAUGAUGGGACCCGAAAGAUGGUGAACUAUGCCUGAAUAGGGUGAAGCCGGAGGAAA